Molecule: non-coding RNA, 277 nt
Organism: Misgurnus anguillicaudatus (oriental weatherfish)
Lineage: Eukaryota; Metazoa; Chordata; Actinopteri; Cypriniformes; Cobitidae
Source: RefSeq, a predicted model, not a curated record
CUUUUAACUUGUGAGCAACGGAGAUUGCGCGCUCGUGCCCUCAAGUGAGUUCACAUAAGCGCGUGACGACACAUGAAAAUAUCGCGAAAGUGCCGCGAAAUGUAGAUAAUUGGGCGUGGCUUACUCAGCGGUUCUGAGAAUCAAGAGUACCAAAAUAUUCCUGGGCAGUGCUGUGGAGUUUGUGUUAGUACUGAUUGUGUGGUUGUCCAUGAUAACACCACACAAACCAUCCCAGUUAACCAGAUAUGGCAACCAGCUGAUGAUAAAUGUGUGAUAU